RNAcentral lists this ribosomal RNA (1235 nucleotides) under metagenome. RNAcentral's name for it is "bacterial SSU rRNA". It matches the Rfam family "Bacterial small subunit ribosomal RNA", at positions 157 to 1393 of the family's 1533-position model. The record is from RNAcentral.
CUUAGAGCAAUACCAAAUAAGUUCGAGAGAAGAAAGUUAGGGGCGACUCUGGCGCAGAUAGAUGAACCUACGUCGGAUUAGCUAGUUGGUAGGGUAAAGGCCUACCAAGGCGAUGAUCCGUAGCUGGUCUGAGAGGACGAACAGCCACACUGGGACUGAGACACGGCCCAGACUCCUACGGGAGGCAGCAGUGGGGAAUAUUGGACAAUGGGCGCAAGCCUGAUCCAGCGAUGCCGCGUGUGUGAAGAAGGCCUACGGGUUGUAAAGCACUUUCGUUUGGGAAGAAGGGUUAAUGGUUAAGAGCUGUUAACUUUGACGUUACUAAAAGAAGAAGCACCGGCUAACUCUGUGCCAGCAGCCGCGGUAAUACAGAGGGUGCGAGCGUUAAUCGGAAUUACUGGGCGUAAAGGGUGAGUAGGUGGAGCUUUAAGUCAGGUGUGAAAUACCCGAGCUUAACUUGGGAAUAGCGCUUGAUACUGAAGCUCUAGAGUACAGUAGAGGAUAGUGGAAUUUCCGGUGUAGCGGUGAAAUGCGUAGAUAUCGGAAGGAACAUCAGUGGCGAAGGCGGCUAUCUGGACUGAAACUGACACUGAGUCACGAAAGCGUGGGUAGCAAACAGGAUUAGAUACCCUGGUAGUCCAUGCUGUAAACGAUGAGAACUUGCUGUUGGUACCGCAAGGUAUUAGUAGCGCAGCUAACGCGAUAAGUUCUCCGCCUGGGGAGUACGGCCGCAAGGUUAAAACUCAAAGGAAUUGACGGGGGCCCGCACAAGCGGUGGAACAUGUGGUUUAAUUCGAUGCAACGCGAAGAACCUUACCUACUCUUGUAUCCCUGGAAGGCAGCAGAGAUGUUGCUGUGCCGCAAGGAACCAGGAGACAGGUGCUGCAUGGCUGUCGUCAGCUCGUGUUGUGAGAUGUUGGGUUAAGUCCCGUAACGAGCGCAACCCUUGUUCUUAAUUACCAUCAGGUUAUGCUGGGGACUUUAAGAAGACUGCCGGUGACGAAUCGGAGGAAGGUGGGGACGAGGUCAAGUCAUCAUGGCCCUUACGAGUAGGGCUACACACGUGUUACAAUGGUAAAUACAGAGGGAUGCUAAACAGCAAUGUGGAGCAAAUCCUUGAAAGUUUAUCGUAGUCCGGAUUGAAGUCUGCAACUCGACUUCAUGAAGCUGGAAUCGCUAGUAAUCGCAGAUCAGAACGCUGCGGUGAAUACGUUCCCGGGCCUUGUACACACCGC